GAAAUGCGAUAAGUAAUGUGAAUUGCAGAAUUCAGUGUAGCAUUGAAUCUUUAAACGCACAUUGUGCCCGCCAGUAUUCUGGCGGGGAUGCCUGUUCGAUCGUCAUUUCACCCAUCAAGCCCCCGGGCUUGUGUUGGUGACCCUGCGGCUGCCCGCAGGCCCUGAAAUGCAGUGGCGGGCUCGCUGUCCACACCGAGCGUAGUAGCAUUACCCCUCGCUCAGGGCGUGCGGCGUGCUCCGGCCGUUAAACGCGACCUUAACGCAUACCAAGGUUGACCUCGGAUCAGGUAGGAAGACCCGCUGAACUUAA
RNAcentral lists this unclassified non-coding RNA (310 nucleotides) under uncultured Chaetomium. RNAcentral describes it as "sequence contains ITS1". The stretch from base 1 to 105 matches the Rfam family "5.8S ribosomal RNA", at positions 50 to 154 of the family's 154-position model. The record is from RNAcentral. Lineage: Eukaryota; Fungi; Ascomycota; Sordariomycetes; Sordariales; Chaetomiaceae.